AACACAUGCAAGUCGAACGGUAACAGGAAGAAGCUUGCUUCUUUGCUGACGAGUGGCGGACGGGUGAGUAAUGUCUGGGAAACUGCCUGAUGGAGGGGGAUAACUACUGGAAACGGUAGCUAAUACCGCAUAACGUCGCAAGACCAAAAAGGGGGACCUUCGGGCCUCUUGCCAUCGGAUGUGCCCAGAUGGGAUUAGCUAGUAGGUGGGGUAACGGCUCACCUAGGCGACGAUCCCUAGCUGGUCUGAGAGGAUGACCAGCCACACUGGAACUGAGACACGGUCCAGACUCCUACGGGAGGCAGCAGUGGGGAAUAUUGCACAAUGGGCGCAAGCCUGAUGCAGCCAUGCCGCGUGUAUGAAGAAGGCCUUCGGGUUGUAAAGUACUUUCAGCGGGGAGGAAGGGAGUAAAGUUAAUACCUUUGCUCAUUGACGUUACCCGCAGAAGAAGCACCGGCUAACUCCGUGCCAGCAGCCGCGGUAAUACGGAGGGUGCAAGCGUUAAUCGGAAUUACUGGGCGUAAAGCGCACGCAGGCGGUUUGUUAAGUCAGAUGUGAAAUCCCCGGGCUCAACCUGGGAACUGCAUCUGAUACUGGCAAGCUUGAGUCUCGUAGAGGGGGGUAGAAUUCCAGGUGUAGCGGUGAAAUGCGUAGAGAUCUGGAG
This 664-nucleotide ribosomal RNA is filed under the name uncultured Pseudomonadota bacterium. Its description in RNAcentral is "bacterial SSU rRNA". It matches the Rfam family "Bacterial small subunit ribosomal RNA", at positions 50 to 703 of the family's 1533-position model. The record is from RNAcentral. Lineage: Bacteria; Pseudomonadati; Pseudomonadota.